This 291-nucleotide unclassified non-coding RNA is filed under the name Hypholoma sp. RNAcentral's name for it is "partial contains 5.8S ribosomal RNA, internal transcribed spacer 2, and large subunit ribosomal RNA". Lineage: Eukaryota; Fungi; Basidiomycota; Agaricomycetes; Agaricales; Strophariaceae. The record is from RNAcentral.
AACGCACAUUGCGCCUCCUGGUAUUCCGGGGGGCAUGCCUGUCCGAGCGUCAUUAAAAUAAACUUCAAGCCACUUUAUUGUGCCUUGGUCUUGAGGGAUGAGCGCAGGUAAGAUCAUGUCUAAUUGCUGCUCACCCAUCGAAUUCCAGUGGCGGAAUCAAACACGGAUUGUCUUGGUGUGAUAAGUUUUUUCACGUCACCAAUCAGCUCGUAUUAUAUUCUAGCCAAUUCAAACUCCCCUCUGUCUUUAAUCAACGACCUCGGAUCAGGUAGGGAUACCCGCUGAACUUAA